This 468-nucleotide ribosomal RNA is filed under the name uncultured bacterium. RNAcentral describes it as "partial 16S ribosomal RNA". It matches the Rfam family "Bacterial small subunit ribosomal RNA", at positions 28 to 507 of the family's 1533-position model. The record is from RNAcentral.
GACGAACGCUGGCGGCGUGCUUAACACAUGCAAGUCGAACGGAAAGGCCCUGCUUUUGUGGGGUGCUCGAGUGGCGAACGGGUGAGUAACACGUGAGUAACCUGCCCUUGACUUUGGGAUAACUUCAGGAAACUGGGGCUAAUACCGGAUAGGAGCUCCUGCUGCAUGGUGGGGGUUGGAAAGUUUCGGCGGUUGGGGAUGGACUCGCGGCUUAUCAGCUUGUUGGUGGGGUAGUGGCUUACCAAGGCUUUGACGGGUAGCCGGCCUGAGAGGGUGACCGGCCAGAGUGGGAAUGAGAUACAGCACGGACUGAGACGGGAGGCAGCAGUGGGGAAGAGUGGAAAAUGGGCGGAAGCAUGAUGCAGCAACGCCGCGGGAGGGAUGAGGGCCUGCGGGUUGGAAGAAGCGUUCGCCUGGGAAGAAGCGUGAGUGACGGUAAUGGGUAAAGAAGCACAGGCUAACUAAGUG